Molecule: ribosomal RNA, 324 nt
Filed under: uncultured bacterium
Lineage: Bacteria
Description: bacterial SSU rRNA
Rfam family: Bacterial small subunit ribosomal RNA
Source: RNAcentral
GACGAACGCUGGCGGCGUGCUUAACACAUGCAAGUCGAACGGAGUUUCUUGGAUCAAGACUUCGGUCAAGUGAAUGGAAACUUAGUGGCGGACUGGUGAGUAACGCGUGAGGAACCUGCCUUUCAGAGGGGGACAACAGUUGGAAACGACUGCUAAUACCGCAUGACGCAUAGACACGGCAUCGUGACUAUGCCAAAGAUUUUAUCGCUGAAAGAUGGCCUCGCGUCUGAUUAGCUAGUUGGUGGGGUAACGGCCUACCAAGGCGACGAUCAGUAGCCGGACUGAGAGGUUGACCGGCCACAUUGGGACUGAGAUACGGCCCAG